GCUGGGUGCAGUGGUGUAUGCCUGAAGUCCCAGCUUCUCAUUUUCCAUAGUUUUGGGCUGUAGUUCACUAUGCUGAUCUUUGUCCAUACUAAGUUCAGCAUCAAUGUGGUGACCUCCUGGUAACAGGGAAACCACCAGAUUGCCUAAAGAUGGGAUAUUCAGCCCAGGGCAAAAAAACAGAAUAGGUCGAAACUUUUGUGCUGAUCAGUAGCUGGAUCACACCUGUGAAUAGCACCUUAGCAAUAGUGAGCC
Unclassified non-coding RNA from Cebus imitator (Panamanian white-faced capuchin), 252 nucleotides. It matches the Rfam family "Metazoan signal recognition particle RNA". From Rfam's summary of the family: The signal recognition particle (SRP) is a universally conserved ribonucleoprotein. It is involved in the co-translational targeting of proteins to membranes. The eukaryotic SRP consists of a 300-nucleotide 7S RNA and six proteins: SRPs 72, 68, 54, 19, 14, and 9. The record is from Ensembl. NCBI's taxonomy places the organism in Eukaryota, Metazoa, Chordata, Mammalia, Primates, Cebidae.